RNAcentral lists this ribosomal RNA (535 nucleotides) under uncultured Pelagibacterales bacterium. RNAcentral describes it as "bacterial SSU rRNA". It matches the Rfam family "Bacterial small subunit ribosomal RNA", at positions 89 to 657 of the family's 1533-position model. Lineage: Bacteria; Pseudomonadati; Pseudomonadota; Alphaproteobacteria; Candidatus Pelagibacterales. The record is from RNAcentral.
UACUUAGUGGCAGACGGGUGAGUAACAUGUGGGUAUCUACCCUUUGGCCUGGAAUAACACGAGGAAACUUGUGCUAAUACCGGAUAAGUCUUUACGGAGAAAGCUUUAUGCACCAUUGGAUGAGCCCGCACUUGAUUAGUUUGUUGGUAGGGUAAUGGCCUACCAAGACUAUGAUCAAUAGCUGAUUUGAGAGGAUGAUCAGCCACAUUGGGACUGAGACACGGCCCAAACUCCUACGGGAGGCAGCAGUGGGGAAUCUUGCACAAUGGAGGAAACUCUGAUGCAGCGAUGCCGCGUGAGUGAAGAAGGCCUUUGGGUUGUAAAGCUCUUUCGUCGGGGAAGAAAAUGACUGUACCCGAAUAAGAAGGUCCGGCUAACUUCGUGCCAGCAGCCGCGGUAAUACGAAGGGACCUAGCGUAGUUCGGAAUUACUGGGCUUAAAGAGUUCGUAGGUGGUUUAAAAAGUUGCCCCGUGAAAUCCCAGAGCUUAACUCUGGAACUGCCAUCAAAACUUUUCAGCUAGAGUAUGAUAGAGG